Long non-coding RNA from Camarhynchus parvulus, 1659 nucleotides. The record is from Ensembl. Lineage: Eukaryota; Metazoa; Chordata; Aves; Passeriformes; Thraupidae.
AUGAGUCCCAUAACCAAGGCUACUGUGUCUCUUAUCCGGUUUGUUUUAUGGGUGAAUAAGGUGAGGAAUUCAUGGAUUUUUAACUUCCUCUGGAAAGCAGGCACAUGGAUUCACAGCUAUCACACAUUAAGUGUAUGUUUUUGGGGUUACUUUAAUAAUGGCACCUGCUGUAAAGAAAUGACCCCAGGUGAAAUCUUCUCCCAACCCUUUAGCCAUUUCUUUGGGUCUGCCCCACCAGUUUUUGAAGGGUUCAGAUCCACUCUAAAUAUUAAUGAUAUCAUACAGUGGCUGGUGUUGCUGAUAGGCCUGCUCUAUUUAGCAUUUAGAGAGAAGGGGAGACUUACCUGGAUAACUACCAUGACACCUGACCCUGCCCCACAGCCCACCCCAGCUAGGGAUGCUGCUGCCCCAGAGCCUGACCCUGCCCCACAGCCCACCCCAGCUAGGGAUGCUGCUGCCCCAGAGCCUGACCCUGCCCCACAGCCCACCACAGAUGUGAACUACCCAGAUUGGGUGGGGGGUUUGGUGAAGGAGAUACAUGAGAUGGGCCAGAUGCUGAAAGAAUACACUUCCCCAGCUGGUGAGAAGCCCUCCCCCGGCCCUGAAGAGGGAGAGUCUAACAGUGCAGCAGCGGAACCCACAGAUGUUACAACUGUCCAGGCUCCAGCUGAAUUGCAAAGGCAAUCACAGCCAGCAGCAGUUGCCCCUGUAGAAACAAGGAGAUCUAAGAUGAAAGCAGAGCACCCAGAUAGGGGAGGGCCCUCACAAGCCACAGGGGAACCAGAGGUUGCGAUCAUCACCGAGUCCCUGACGUACGAAAGUCUCCGUAAUCUGCACAAAGACAUUGUACGACGGGGACGUGAGGCUUAUACAACCUGGCUACUUCGGGUCUGGGAUCUUACGGGUACAGGCAUCCAGCUGGAUGGUGGUGAGGCAAGGAAUUUGGGACCCUUGACCCAGGACUCAGGUAUCAAUCAGAUUUUUGUAAGGGAGCCAGGGUCCCUUUCCCUCUGGGAGCGGCUUUUAAUAAGUGUCAGAGAGAGGUUUGUUCACAGGGAAAGAAUGCAGGAGCACCACCAUAGAAUGCGCUGGAAGACUCUUGAAGAAGGGAUCCAACAGCUGAGAGAAGUGGCAGUAUUGGAGGUACUUUUUGGGAGGGAUGGACAGCAUGAUAAUGACCCCGACAAAGUCAGGUGCACAGGGCAAAUGUUGUGGAGCCUGGCAAAUCUAGGGCCAUCCCAAUACACCACGUUUAUUACAACAAUUAAUGCUGACACCAACCGAGAGACAGUAGGUUCUGUGGCCAACAAGCUUAGGAAUUAUGAAAGUAUGAUCAAUGGCCUGAUGCAGGCUCAUGUCUCUGCCGUGGUCCAAGAACUCAGAGAGGAGAUGAGGGAGAUGAUGAGGAAGAACAGUUCCCAUAUAGCACCAGUGCGAGUCACAGGCCCCAGAGUCAGAGCCCAACGUUCCCCAGCUACAGAGAGAGGGUACACCCCACGGGCUGACCUGUGGUUUUUCCUGCGUGACCAUGGGGAAGACAUGGGAAGGUGGGAUAGAAAACCCACUUCUGUCCUGGCAGCACGAGUGCGUCAACUCAAGGAGGGAAACACUAAUCAAGGGAACUCCAGUAAAGUGAAGGUAGCCUCAACCUCCCAUGAC